CCUACGGGGGGCAGCAGUGGGGGAUAUUGGACAAUGGGGGGAACCCUGAUCCAGCGACGCCGCGUGAGUGAAGAAGUAUCUCGGUAUGUAAAGCUCUAUCAGCAGGGAAGAAGAAAUGACGGUACCUGAGUAAGAAGCCCCGGCUAACUACGUGCCAGCAGCCGCGGUAAUACGUAGGGGGCAAGCGUUAUCCGGAAUUACUGGGGGUAAAGGGAGCGUAGGCGGUCCGUUAAGUCAGCGGUAAAAUUGCGGGGCUAAACCCCGUCGAGCCGUUGAAACUGGCAGACUUGAGUUGGCGAGAAGUACGCGGAAGGCGCGGUGUAGCGGUGAAAUGCAUAGAUAUCGCGCAGAACUCCGAUUGCGAAGGCAGCGUACCGGCGCCAGACUGACGCUGAGGCACGAAAGCGUGGGGAUCGAACAGGAUUAGAUACCCGUGUAGUC
RNAcentral lists this ribosomal RNA (441 nucleotides) under uncultured bacterium. RNAcentral's name for it is "partial 16S ribosomal RNA". It matches the Rfam family "Bacterial small subunit ribosomal RNA", at positions 338 to 795 of the family's 1533-position model. The record is from RNAcentral.